UACGUAGGGUGCGAGCGUUAAUCGGAAUUACUGGGCGUAAAGCGUGCGCAGGCGGUCAUGCAAGACAGAUGUGAAAUCCCUGGGCUCAACCUGGGAACUGCAUAUGUGACUGUAUGGCUGGAGUGUGGCAGAGGAGGGUGGAAUUCCGCGUGUAGCAGUGAAAUGCGUAGAGAUGCGGAGGAACACCGAUGGCGAAGGCAGCCCUCUGGGCUAACACUGACGCUGAGGCACGAAAGCGUGGGGAGCAAACAGG
This 253-nucleotide ribosomal RNA is filed under the name uncultured bacterium. Its description in RNAcentral is "partial 16S ribosomal RNA". It matches the Rfam family "Bacterial small subunit ribosomal RNA", at positions 524 to 776 of the family's 1533-position model. The record is from RNAcentral.